ACAUAACUGAUGCCUCCGCGUAUCGACUUUGUGCGCAUUUUAGCUAUUAUGUGUUCUUUUAAUUAAAAUGAUUCUUUUUAAGAUUCAUCUAUUAAAAAUUUGCCUCGGCAUAAUUUUUUUUGAUGAUCUUGUUACUUUGAGUAAAUUAGAGUGUUCAAAGCAAACAGAUAUAGCAUUUGUGCGUUUGAAUACUACAGCAUGGAAUAACAAAAUUGAACAAGUCAGAAUUUUUUUGUUCUUUUUUCUUAUUUUGGCUUAGUUACGAUUAAUAGGAGUAGCUUGGGGGCAUUUGUAUUCAGAUGUCAGAGGUGAAAUUCUUAGAUUUUCUGGAGACAAACAACUGCGAAAGCAUUUGCCUAAAAUACUUCCAUUAAUCAAGAACGAAAGUUAAGGGAGUGAAGACGAUCAGAUACCGUCGUAAUCUUAACCAUAAACUAUGCCGACUAGGCUUUGGAUGAAAGAUUUUAAAAUAAGAGUUUUUCUUUUCUCUCCGGAGAUUAGAACUCUUAGAUUGCUUCCUUCAGUGCCUUAUGAGAAAUCAAAGUCUUUGGGUUCUGGGGCGAGUAUUCGCGCAAGCGAGAAAGUUAAAAGAAUUGACGGAAGGGCACCACCAGGCGUGGAGCUUGCGGCUUAAUUUGACUCAACACGGGAAAACUCACUAGUUUAAGACAAGAGUAGGAUUGACAGAUUAAUAGCUCUUUCUUGAUUUCUUGGAUGGUGAUGCAUGGCCGUUUUUAGUUCGUGAAUAUGAUUUGUCUGGUUAAUUCCGAUAACGAACGAGAUCUUAACCUGCUAAUUAGCGGCAAAUACGAUAUAUUCUUAUGUAGAAUUGAAUAUAGUGGAUUUGUUGGAUUUUGAAGAAAAUAUUGGAAUUACGUUAAAUGUGAUUCCUUUCCCUUUUCUACUUAAUUUACAUUUCCAUCUAUUUCUUUUUUGCGUAUGAAUGUAUUUGCUUGAUUGUAAAGCUUCUUAGAGGAACGAUGUGUG
RNAcentral lists this ribosomal RNA (987 nucleotides) under Plasmodium knowlesi. Its description in RNAcentral is "SSU rRNA". It matches the Rfam family "Eukaryotic small subunit ribosomal RNA", at positions 638 to 1428 of the family's 1831-position model. Lineage: Eukaryota; Apicomplexa; Aconoidasida; Haemosporida; Plasmodiidae. The record is from RNAcentral.